GAGGGAAUUUUGGACAAUGGGGGCAACCCUGAUCCAGCAAUGCCGCGUGUGUGAAGAAGGCCUUCGGGUUGUAAAGCACUUUUGUCCGGAAAGAAAUGGCCUGGGCUAAUACCCCGGGUCGAUGACGGUACCGGAAGAAUAAGCACCGGCUAACUACGUGCCAGCAGCCGCGGUAAUACGUAGGGUGCGAGCGUUAAUCGGAAUUACUGGGCGUAAAGCGUGCGCAGGCGGUUUGAUAAGACAGGCGUGAAAUCCCCGGGCUCAACCUGGGAAUGGCGCUUGUGACUGUCAGGCUAGAGUGCGUCAGAGGGGGGUAGAAUUCCACGUGUAGCAGUGAAAUGCGUAGAGAUGUGGAGGAAUACCGAUGGCGAAGGCAGCCCCCUGGGACGUGACUGACGCUCAUGCACGAAAGCGUGGGGAGCAAACAGGAUUAGAUACCCUGGUAGUCCACGCCCUAAACGAUGUCAACUAGUUGUUGGGGAUUCAUUUCUUCAGUAACGUAGCUAACGCGUGAAGUUGACCGCCUGGGGAGUACGGUCGCAAGAUUA
RNAcentral lists this ribosomal RNA (548 nucleotides) under uncultured bacterium. RNAcentral's name for it is "bacterial SSU rRNA". It matches the Rfam family "Bacterial small subunit ribosomal RNA", at positions 355 to 896 of the family's 1533-position model. The record is from RNAcentral.